GAUGAACGCUGGCGGCGUGCCUAAUACAUGCAAGUCGAGCGAACAGACGAGGAGCUUGCUCCUCUGACGUUAGCGGCGGACGGGUGAGUAACACGUGGAUAACCUACCUAUAAGACUGGGAUAACUUCGGGAAACCGGAGCUAAUACCGGAUAAUAUAUUGAACCGCAUGGUUCAAUAGUGAAAGACGGUUUUGCUGUCACUUAUAGAUGGAUCCGCGCCGCAUUAGCUAGUUGGUAAGGUAACGGCUUACCAAGGCAACGAUGCGUAACCGACCUGAGAGGGUGAUCGGCCACACUGGAACUGAGACACGGUCCAGACUCCUACGGGAGGCAGCAGUAGGGAAUCUUCCGCAAUGGGCGAAAGCUUGACGGAGCAACGCCGCGUGAGUGAUGAAGGUCUUCGGAUCGUAAAACUCUGUUAUUAGGGAAGAACAAAUGAGUAAGUAACUAUGCACGUCUUGACGGUACCUAAUCAGAAAGCCACGGCUAACUACGUG
This 497-nucleotide ribosomal RNA is filed under the name uncultured bacterium. RNAcentral's name for it is "partial 16S ribosomal RNA". It matches the Rfam family "Bacterial small subunit ribosomal RNA", at positions 28 to 507 of the family's 1533-position model. The record is from RNAcentral.